UGACGAGUGGCGGACGGGUGAGUAAUGUCUGGGAAACUGCCUGAUGGAGGGGGAUAACUACUGGAAACGGUAGCUAAUACCGCAUAACGUCGCAAGACCAAAGAGGGGGACCUUCGGGCCUCUUGCCAUCGGAUGUGCCCAGAUGGGAUUAGCUAGUAGGUGGGGUAACGGCUCACCUAGGCGACGAUCCCUAGCUGGUCUGAGAGGAUGACCAGCCACACUGGAACUGAGACACGGUCCAGACUCCUACGGGAGGCAGCAGUGGGGAAUAUUGCACAAUGGGCGCAAGCCUGAUGCAGCCAUGCCGCGUGUAUGAAGAAGGCCUUCGGGUUGUAAAGUACUUUCAGCGGGGAGGAAGGCGAUGAGGUUAAUAACCUUGUCGAUUGACGUUACCCGCAGAAGAAGCACCGGCUAACUCCGUGCCAGCAGCCGCGGUAAUACGGAGGGUGCAAGCGUUAAUCGGAAUUACUGGGCGUAAAGCGCACGCAGGCGGUCUGUCAAGUCGGAUGUGAAAUCCCCGGGCUCAACCUGGGAACUGCAUUCGAAACUGGCAGGCUAGAGUCUUGUAGAGGGGGGUAGAAUUCCAGGUGUAGCGGUGAAAUGCGUA
Molecule: ribosomal RNA, 607 nt
Filed under: Enterobacter sp.
Lineage: Bacteria; Pseudomonadati; Pseudomonadota; Gammaproteobacteria; Enterobacterales; Enterobacteriaceae
Description: bacterial SSU rRNA
Rfam family: Bacterial small subunit ribosomal RNA
Source: RNAcentral